UACGAAGGGGGCUAGCGUUGUUCGGAAUUACUGGGCGUAAAGCGCACGUAGGCGGACUACUAAGUCAGGGGUGAAAUCCCGGGGCUCAACCCCGGAACUGCCUUUGAUACUGAUAGUCUCGAGUCCGGAAGAGGUGAGUGGAAUUCCGAGUGUAGAGGUGAAAUUCGUAGAUAUUCGGAGGAACACCAGUGGCGAAGGCGGCUCACUGGUCCGGUACUGACGCUGAGGCGCGAAAGCGUGGGGAGCGAACGGG
This 253-nucleotide ribosomal RNA is filed under the name uncultured bacterium. Its description in RNAcentral is "partial 16S ribosomal RNA". It matches the Rfam family "Bacterial small subunit ribosomal RNA", at positions 524 to 776 of the family's 1533-position model. The record is from RNAcentral.